Non-coding RNA from Oryza barthii, 187 nucleotides. NCBI's taxonomy places the organism in Eukaryota, Viridiplantae, Streptophyta, Magnoliopsida, Poales, Poaceae. The record is from Rfam.
UUUAAGUGCAACGAUAAGUUUCUAUGCCCAACUUCGAUGGUUCAUUUUAUUUUUUUUAUAAUUAGUAUUUUUUUUAUUGUUAGAUGAUAAAACAUGAAUAGUAAUUUAUGUGUGACUAAUGUUUUAAUUUUUUUAAAAUAAGAAAGACGAUCAAAGUUGGCUACAGAAAAUCAUAGCAUCACCCGGG